RNAcentral lists this non-coding RNA (197 nucleotides) under Cytophagaceae bacterium. Lineage: Bacteria; Pseudomonadati; Bacteroidota; Cytophagia; Cytophagales; Cytophagaceae. The record is from RNAcentral.
AUCUUUGUGCGAUUUCCAGGUGCAGGCGCCAUUGUCAAUGGCGUUGCUUAAUUGGGAACUCCGUGAAAACCGGAGACUGUCCCCGCAACUGUAAGUCCCGCAAAGGUUCAGAUAAGCUUCGUAGCCACUGUGCGCAGCAUGGGAAGGCCGAUCUGAACGGGACGAGUCAGGAGACCAGCCUGUUGAGCAGAGUUAUG